Molecule: ribosomal RNA, 808 nt
Filed under: Leptoxyphium kurandae
Lineage: Eukaryota; Fungi; Ascomycota; Dothideomycetes; Capnodiales; Capnodiaceae
Description: eukaryotic LSU rRNA
Rfam family: Eukaryotic large subunit ribosomal RNA
Source: RNAcentral
AAACCAACAGGGAUUGCCUCAGUAACGGCGAGUGAAGCGGCAAAAGCUCAGAUUUGAAAUCUGGCGUCUUCGGCGUCCGAGUUGUAAUCUGUAGAGGAUGCCUUUGGGUAGCCACCGGUCUAAGUCCCCUGGAACGGGGUGUCACAGAGGGUGAGAAUCCCGUAUGUGACCGGAAGGGCGCCCUAUACAUGGCUCCUUCGACGAGUCGAGUUGUUUGGGAAUGCAGCUCUAAAUGGGAGGUAAAUUCCUUCUAAAGCUAAAUACCGGCCAGAGACCGAUAGCGCACAAGUAGAGUGAUCGAAAGAUGAAAAGCACUUUGGAAAGAGAGUUAAAAAGCACGUGAAAUUGUUGAAAGGGAAGCGCUUGCAACCAGACUUGUUGGCGGUGUUCCGCCGGUCUUCUGACCGGUCUACUCACCGUCUGCAGGCCAGCAUCAUCUGGGGCCGCUGGAUAAAAGCGGAGGGAAUGUGGCUCCUCCGGGAGUGUUAUAGCCCUCUGUGUAAUACAGCGAGUCCCGGGUGAGGUCCGCGCUUCGGCUAGGAUGCUGGCGUAAUGGUCGUAAGCGGCCCGUCUUGAAACACGGACCAAGGAGUCUAACAUCUAUGCGAGUGUUCGGGUGUCAAACCCCUACGCGUAAUGAAAGUGAACGGAGGUGGGAACCUUUUAGGUGCACCAUCGACCGAUCCUGAUGUCUUCGGAUGGAUUUGAGUAAGAGCAUAGCUGUUGGGACCCGAAAGAUGGUGAACUAUGCCUGGAUAGGGUGAAGCCAGAGGAAACUCUGGUGGAGGCUCGCAGCGGUUCUGACGUG